Pelmatolapia mariae (spotted tilapia) is the source of this 464-nucleotide long non-coding RNA. RefSeq lists it as uncharacterized. NCBI's taxonomy places the organism in Eukaryota, Metazoa, Chordata, Actinopteri, Cichliformes, Cichlidae. The record is from RefSeq and is a predicted model, not a curated record. The transcript is spliced from 3 exons.
UAUGUUUUACUGAUCCUGUAUUUAACUAAGACCAAAAGUAUUGUUAUUCCCUCUCCGGUUUCAUCUGCGUCUGUCGUAAAAAAGAGGAGGGAGAAAGAAAGGGAAUACUGGACCACUGCUGGAGCCUCCAUGUCUGUUUUCAUUGUGUCGGAGAAUUCCAGUGUUGAGGCUACGAGUGCGCUUUUCCUGGCUCUUCACGCCUUCCUCCCGAAGAAUCGGAGAGGGUACCAAGCGUCAUUCUGCCACCAGUGCACUCCACUCUAAGGAUGCAUGGUUUCAAAGGGACCACAGAACAAAUCAGAGGCCCAUCCCUGCGCACCAAUGGCCUGUCUCUCAUUUCAGAUGGAGAUUGAAGGGCACGUCUGCUCCCGGGGCGCCCACCGCCCUGAGGGCCUCUGCGUCUCCCCUGCGUGAGAGCUGGACCGCUACGCGCACCAAAAAACCCGUCGACCCCCGCAAUCGGC